Molecule: RNA transcript, 2172 nt
Organism: Glycine soja
Lineage: Eukaryota; Viridiplantae; Streptophyta; Magnoliopsida; Fabales; Fabaceae
Exons: 3
Source: RefSeq, a predicted model, not a curated record
GGUGAAGUGAUCGAUUUAGGGGAGUGGUACCUCAGAAAUUGAUGAAUGAAAGCAGAACUUUGAUAUUAAAAAUAUUGGUAAUUUCCAAUUUGGGAGGAUUGUCUUUCUUGGAUUUUUCGUUAAGCCAACUCUCAUCUUAUCAAGAGGCCUUACUCUUGUGGCAAUCAAUUUUCUGUGACUUAUCAAUUCCUUUGAAAUUGUGGCACCUUCUAUCCUGUCCCGUUGAUUCUCAUCAUUUAGUACUUAGAGCAAGGUAUUCUGAGUUCCUGAUUUUUCCUCACUGGUUGCAUCAAUCGGAUGCAAUUGUGCAAAAUUAGUUUCACACAUUCUAGAUAUGUGACUUUAUCGAUUCGUAGCAUAUUGAUCUAGAACAUUGUACAAUUCUUAUUGGUGUAAGUCAUCAAUGCAUUGGUUCCUUUAAUGCAAGUUGUGACCUCUUAUUGGUUUUCGCCAACAAAUUGAUAAUAGAUGUAGUUAUCAUGGGCUACUUGCGUCAAAAAUCAAACCUCGAUUAUGUGAUUUUCAUUCAGGUGCUGGUGAUGGUAACCCUCCUCUUAGGGGAGACUACAGGUUACUAAUUGAUGCAAUUACAACUCAAAUGGAAAGGAUGAUGAGGGAGCACACAGAGGAUUUAUAUAGGAGAAUUGAACAAUUAGAAAAUCAAGAGAACCGCAAUGAUGAUGGAGGUAGAAGGAGAAGGGUAAGAGAUAAUGGUGGUGGUGAUGCUAGAUAGGACAAAAUUAAAGGAGUGAAGUUGAACAUACCCCCUUUCCAAAGGAAAAGUGAUAUAGAAGCUUAUUUGGAGUAGGAGAUGAAGAUUAAGUAACUGUUUGCAUGUCACAACUAUACAAAAGAUAAGAAGAUGAAGGUGGAAGCCAUGGAGCUCACUGACUAUGCUCUCAUUUGGUGGGAUAAAUAACAAAAGGAAAGGGUGAGACUUGGAGAACCUUAGUGAAUAGUUGAGAUGAGAUGAAGAGAUUAAUGAGAAGAAGACAUGUUCCUUUUCAUUAUCAUAGAGACCUUCACAACAAGCUUCAAAGACUUACACAAGGAAAUAAGAGUAUAGAUGAGUAUUACAAAGAGAUGGAGGUGUCCUUGAUUAGAGUCAAUCCUAAUGAAGACUAGGAGAAAAAGUGUCAUGAGAAGAAGCUCCUCUAACUUUCAUUCUUCAAGUUGCAAGGAUAGAAAUAAGAAGGAGGGGGUACUUCUUCAAGUAAUUACAAUGUUGCACCUCAAAGCACUCAAAAAUUCAAUGAGUCACUUAAAAGACAAGGAGUGGUGAAAUAAAAUGCUUUAAGUGUUUGGGGAGAGGUCACUUAGCUUCUCAAUAUCUAACUAAAAAGACUAUGUUACUUAAGGAGGAUGGAGAGAUUAUGAGUGAUUUUUCUUCAGAUUUUGUACCAUCUAGUGAUGAAGAAGAGCAUGAAGAGGAAAAAGAAGCAGAAGGAGAUUUGUUCAUGGUUAGAAGGAUGUUGGGCAGUCAAGCGGUGGAAUUGGAUGAGUGUCAAAGAGAAAAUAUUUUCCACACAAGGUGUAUUAUUUCAAGGAAGUGGUGUGUCUCCAUGGACUACCAAGAAGCAUUGCUUCCUAAUCAAGACACCAAGUUACUUAGUCACUUUUGAAGAACUUUAUGAGGUGCAGAUGGAUUCAAUUCGAGGUCAAAUUCACUCAGAGAAGAAGGGGAUAAUGAGGACAACGUCAAGAGCAUGGACCUUGAAGCAGAGCAUGGAUUUGAUGGACCAAUCACAAGAGCACGUGCUAAGGAAAUGGUGAAUGAAGCCCAAUUUAAAAUGGAAAAUGUGAAGCCCCAACCCAAAUUGGUCAAUUGCUUGAGGAAUAAGGAAAAUGAGCUAACUUUAAGAAAAGACCCAAGAAUAAGUCUGAUUUGUCACUUGGGCCCAAUAUUUUUGUUUGCCUUUUUUAUUAUCAAAUAAUAGGCUAAAGUUAAUUUUCUUUAAUUUUAAUUUUUAUUACAAUUUUUAGUCAAGAAUAAUAUUAGUGGUUGUUGUUUUGCUUACAAAUAUUUAAUAGCCACUAAUUUGGAAUAAUUUCUACCAUUAAGAGUUCAAUUACUAGUAGGAACUCUUGGCAUGCCUUAGGAAGAGUAUAUGUACCUCAAAAAUUGAUGAAUGAAAGUAGAACUUUGAUAUUAAAAAUAUUGGUAAUUUCCAA